GACGUAGGGCGCGAGCGUUGUCCGGAUUUAUUGGGCGUAAAGAGCUCGUAGGCGGUUUGUCGCGUCGUUCGUGAAAACCCACGGCUUAACUGUGGGCUUGCGGUCGAUACGGGCAGGCUAGAGUUCGGUAGGGAGACGUGGAAUUCCUGGUGUAGCGGUGAAAGUGCGCAGAUAUCAGGAGGAACACCGGUGGCGAAGGCGGGUCUCUGGGCCGAUACUGACGCUGAGGAGCGAAAGCGUGGGGAGCGAACAGG
Molecule: ribosomal RNA, 254 nt
Filed under: uncultured bacterium
Lineage: Bacteria
Description: partial 16S ribosomal RNA
Rfam family: Bacterial small subunit ribosomal RNA
Source: RNAcentral